This is a long non-coding RNA of Mus musculus (house mouse), 4531 nucleotides long. RefSeq annotates it as predicted gene 15983. The transcript has 3 exons. NCBI's taxonomy places the organism in Eukaryota, Metazoa, Chordata, Mammalia, Rodentia, Muridae. The record is from RefSeq and is a predicted model, not a curated record.
AGCGAGGCCUGAGACGGAGGAGGCGUGGCAACUAGGAGCCAGGUUUACCUGCCUCUGCAGCUCCAUAUGAAGCCUUUGCUGAUCACCCAGUCUUACUGGGCUUAGCUUAGUCCCCUCCAGCCUCCUUGCUUUCCAACCUUCCUUGGACACAUGGCUCCUCGCUCAGCUUGCUGUGGCGUGAAGAGGCACGAGGGUUGUCACAGACAGCGUGCAGUAAGCACCAACACUGCUCUCCCACUAAAGCCUUUAGACUGUUCCCUCUCUUCACCACAUUGAACCAGUGGCUUCUCUAUGAAGAAUGAUUUUCAGAAACAAAACUCAGGAGAAACACGUUCUGUCUCAGCUCCAGUGCUCACCUCACUAUUGUGUGACUUUACCCAGGAGAAUGUAGAGAAGCAUCUAUUCAGACAAACCCUGACAGAAGGAAAAGAGAAUCCUACCGGAGCCCAGCACAGUGAAUCAGUGCGUGUGGACUACAGCAGCUAUUCUAUGGGGAAACCCACCACCCCUAGUCGAUUGCUCACCUCUUACAUAAUGUAGGUGUAAGGAACACAUGGUCCCAGAAGACACUUUUCCCGGUGCUUCAAAGCUACCUGCCGCCACAGCCCUGGACCACAUCUGCGGCCCCAGAUAACUAUGGAAACCAAGCCAUACAGAGUGUGUGUGCACGUGUGCGGAUGAUAAGGGAAGCCCAUGAAGUAAUGUAUGAAACACCCUAGUUGUAAUUGGCUGAAUUUAGUUUAAAAACCCCUGGUCUGGCACGGCAACUCAUUCACCCCUGGGCCCAAUGGAGAUGUGUAGUGUUGAGAGAUGACUCCACACAGACGCCCAAAUGGACACUACUGCCCAGACGAGACAAACCUGCAUCGCUGAGGUCUAGCUCCAGCGGAAUCCAAAAUCAGCAGGAAGGAGUCUAGAACCUUAUCUGAGCGCAUCAAGCCAGCCAGAUCAGAGGUGCCCUAGCUAUGCUGGACAAAAGGAUUCUCCAUCGAUCGGUGCAGCCCCUGAAGAUGCGGCUUCAGCCAGGACUGUUUGCACCACACACACAGAGGCCAAGUGCAGAUGACCCCAAGGCCAGUUCUUCCUGGGCCAGAGAGUCAACUCCUCACUCCCAAGCUCGGGGGCAGUGACAAUGGUUACAGUCAGAGGCUGAGGAAUUCUGACACCUGGGUUCUCAGAUGCUGCCAGAGGCUGUGGAAUUUUGACUUCUCAGACAUAAGACCUUCUACUCAAGGUCAAGAGCCACAGGUCUGACACUGCAGGUCUGCAUAGCAGCUGGAAGACCUGUAGAGUGAAGAGUCCUGGGCUUGGGAGAUGGCUCGGUGGGUAAAGGUCUUACCAUGGAAACAUGAGGACCCCAGGAAUGCUGGGCAUAACAGCGAUUUCUGUAAUUCCAUCACUCCUGUGUUGAGAUGGAUGGUAGAGACAGGAGAAUUCUUUGAAGCCCAUGGGCUGGCUGGCUUCAUAUAUGCAGCACUGAAUAUGAGGGACUUUGCCUUGAACAUGGUGGGAGGUGAGGACUGAGAGCUAACAUUGUCCUUUGACAUCUACAUCAGUGACAAGACACAACAGCACACGAUAAAAAAACAAAACAGAUGGAUCUGGAGAGAUGGCUCAGUGGUUAGAAGCACCACUGACCUUGCAGGAGACUCAAGUUUGGCUCCCAGCUCACAAAUGCCUGUAACUCCAGGGGCUCAGAUGCCCUCUUCUUGUUAUUAGACGCGUUCUCACGACCGGCCAGGAAAGACGCAACAAACCAGAAUCUUCUGCGGCAAAGCUUUAUUGCUUACAUCUUCAGGAGCCAGAGUGCAAGAGAGCAAGCAAGGAAAUGGCGAAACCCCAUCCCUUUUUAAGGAGAAUUAUCCUCCACCUAGGACGUAUUACUCCCUGAUUAGCUGCAGCCCAUCGGCCCAGUUGUCAUCACGGGAAAGGCAGAACACAUGGUGGGAAAACUGCCCCUGCAUGUGUGCAGACUAUGUUUACCACUUAGAACACAGCUGUCAGUGCCAUCUUAUAAUGGCAAAUGUGAGGGCGGCUCCUCACAUCUUCUGGUUCUCUGGACACCUGCAAUGUGCCCCUAGUGCAUGUGUGCGUGCACACACACACACACACACACACACACACACACACACACCAGUUAGUUUUAAAAUGCCUCAGCUAGCUCAAAGUCUGGGCAGUUCUAAUCCUCCCCUUGGCUAGUACACAUUUUCCUCCUAUAAUUCUGGCUUAACGCCCUCUAGUUCUAUAUUUUAUUUUUGUUGCCCUGGUUCCUUCUGGGUGGCUCCCUAGUCUUUGCUGCACAAGAUGCUUCUGGAUAGCCUUUCCAGGGGCCCAUAUUCCUUCUCACCUACAUUUCGGAUAGUUUUUCCUUCUGCAGCUCUAUAUCCGAUCCAUCUCCCUCUGAAUUAUGGCAAUUCUCUGUUUUCCCUUCUCUCAGUUGCUAGCCCAUGCAAAUCUAAAGGUCCUGCUUCAGUCUGCCUUCCCAACCACUGGUCAUUGUCUCUUUAUUGACCAAUCAAAAGCCAGUUGGGGACAAGAACCUUCAGCAUUUGGACAUGCAGAUUCCCAAUUUUGAGGGCUGGAUUAAUUGGAAGCCUUGGAACCAAUCCCCAGCAUCAUCUUUUCUGUCCAAAUUUUAAAAAAGGCUCUUCUGUCAGACAUAAAUUGAGCAUAACCAUAACAGUUAUGUAAAUUACAAAGUACGAUAUGCAAUUAACAUCCAGUCUGUCAUAUUUGGCAAUUUAGAUAAAGUAUUCUAUUAUCUAUCUUAGCUUAAUGAGUUACAAUUCUGUACCUAAAUCAUGUUUGAUUUCAACUUGUAUUACCAUCUGAAAACCGUCUUUUGAAUCUAGAACACCUUUAAUGCUAAACAGCUUACGUUCAAUUGUGAGGUUAUAAUUAGUCUUCAACCUCGUCAGUCAGAGAUUUGAUAAGGAAUUAAAUAUUACCUGAGUAUGUAGGAAGAACACAGACGCAGCUUCCAAAACCUUUUCUUCCCUGUUCAAAACGAUACCAUCUCCAAGUUAUCCCUUAAAAUGACAGCCCAUCUAUAAUUUGUAAAAUAAUCAUAACCAGACACUCAAACGCAAGGAAUCAGACUGAUGACGCCCAUGGCUUCCUCCUGCCGGAUAGGGAUGAUAAGAAAUUCUUUAAAGGGGUGGGGAGGGGAAGGAAGAUUAGAAAAAGUGCUAGGCUUAAGACAGGUAGAUUUAGCAUCUGUUACCCAUUUUCUGUUCAGGGCUGAACUGAGGUUCUGACUGGGUCCGUCUGAAAGGCUGGAUGAACCAAAUCCACAGGGAAUCAGUGGCAUCCCUGAGGCUGUUCUAGAAGUGAGGCUCUGGAAGCACCAGGAAGCAGGGGGCCGGAGCGGCAGGUCAGCUCAGUGUCCCAGCAGAUGAAUCAGGGUCGUACAAUCUGCAACGUAUGAAUCACAAGCAGAAUUUCUGUACUAUUAAGAUAUUCGUAUCCAUUGUGCAGGGUGCACAGAUCAGUUAAGGAUGAAAUCUGUUCCUUGUUUGAGCAGGUAAAAGACAAUUGUCUUUUUUAUGAAUUAUUUUUAACAAUAACCAAUUGUGUGAUAAAUCUCCAUUCAUGAUAUAUGAAGGAGGGCAUGAAAAAUCUUAAGGAUUCCAUAACCAACAAGAUUUACUGUCUAAUUUUAGCUGAAGUUUUAGUUAGAGACAUUUUUAUGUCUAAGUCAGUUACUGGACUCUUCCCAUGUUGAGGAAUCAGCAGAUCAAGUUGCCUGUCCUGUUCAAUUUUCUCGAAUUUUUCUUUGCUGUAGUCAAGAUCCUCAGAGGGUCUCUCCUGUCCUACCUGAUCCAUAUCACUGUGGAAGGGGUCCAAAGCCUCUUCCCUUUUCCCGUCAGCACAAAUGCAGAGCUUUCUCCCAGGAACUGGAAAGCGUUAAAGGUACAGCUUGACCUCUCUCGCAGAGGAGCUAUAACUGCCACACUCAUAGCCACACGAAUUUUGAUAAUUAAAGCAAUUCAAAGCAGUUAAAGCAAUCUAAACAAACAUUAACCAUUGAGACAGUGCUUCUUCACCAUCUCCUGCUUUUUGACCUAUACUUUAAGAUCAAUAUUUUACACAUCUAUGUAUAGUCAAAUCAUGCCUACUAUGGAGAGGAGCUCUGUGAGUACUUAUGAUAGUAUGUCACUUUCUCUUUAUGUAAUUCUCAAGGCCUAAGUUUCUAUUCUCUGAGAUAGGUUAGACUCCCUAUCCCUUGCUUUUUAAUCUAAUUUUUAAGGAUAGGAAACCUCAGUAUUGUCUAUGUCUACUUACUGUAUAAGUCUAUUUUCAGGCUCAAUUUUGUCAUACCAGGCUAAACAAUCACAGAAAUCUCAUGUGGACUAUGUUCAAAGAUUUUGAGAAUUUGCCCUGGCAAGACUUUUAAAUUUCUCUAAAGAAAUUUUUUUUUUUCAUUCAGUCUCCCUAACUUCUUUCCUCUGUAUACUUAAGAACAUUUAAGCAAUUACCAUUAUACUCUCUUCUAUCCUUAAAAGGAAUUAAAUACAAAUUUAUAAAAAUU